This 18-nucleotide microRNA is filed under the name Corchorus olitorius. RNAcentral describes it as "ppy-miR-13". Lineage: Eukaryota; Viridiplantae; Streptophyta; Magnoliopsida; Malvales; Malvaceae. The record is from RNAcentral.
GAUGCUGCUGCUGUUGUU